CGGCGUGCCUAACACAUGCAAGUCGAACGAAGCAUUUCCUCGGAUUUCCUUCGGGGAUGAAGGGUUUAUGACUGAGUGGCGGACGGGUGAGUAACGCGUGGGCAACCUGCCCCGUACCGGGGGACAACAGCCGGAAACGGCUGCUAAUACCGUAUACGUUUUAAGGACCGCAUGGUCCGUAAAACAAAACUCCGGUGGUACGGGAUGGGCCCGCGUCUGAUUAUCUCGUUGGCGGGGUAACGGCCCACCAAGGCGACUAUCAGUAGCCGGCCUGAGAGGGCGGCCGGCCACAUUGGGACUGAAACACGGCCCAGACUCCUGCGGGAGGCAGCAGUGGGGAAUAUUGCACAGUGGGGGAAACCCUGCUGCAGCGACGCCGCGUGAGCGAGGAAGUACCUCGGUAUGUAAAGCUCUGUCAGCAGGGAAGAAAAUGACAGUACCUGACCAAGAAGCCCCGGCUAACUACGUGCCAGCAGCCGCGGUAAUACGUAGGGGGCAAGCGUUAUCCGGAUUCACUGGGUGUAAAGGGAGCGCAGGCGGCACGGCAAGUCUGAUGUGAAAACCCGGGGCUCAACCCCGGGACUGCAUUGGAAACUGCCGGGUUGGAGUGUCGGAGGGGUAAGCGGAAUUCUUGGUGUAGCGGUGAAAUGCGUAGAUAUCAGGAGGAACACCGGUGGCGAAGGCGGCUUGCUGGACGACAACUGACGUUGAGGCUGGAAAGCGUGGGGAGCAAACAGG
RNAcentral lists this ribosomal RNA (738 nucleotides) under uncultured bacterium. Its description in RNAcentral is "bacterial SSU rRNA". It matches the Rfam family "Bacterial small subunit ribosomal RNA", at positions 40 to 776 of the family's 1533-position model. The record is from RNAcentral.